AGAACGUCGUGAGACAGUUCGGUCUCUAUCCGCCGCGCGCGUGGAAACUUGAUGGAAGGCUGUCCCUAGUACGAGAGGACCGGGACGGACGAACCUCUGGUGUGCCAGUUGUUCCGCCAGGAGCAUUGCUGGUUGGCUACGUACGGGAGGGAUAACCGCUGAAAGCAUCUAAGCGGGAAGCCUACCUCAAGAUAAGAUUUCCCCGAGACUUUAUGUCUCCUAAAGAGCCGUUGAAGACUACGACGUUGAUAGGUUGGAUGUGGAAGCAUAGUGAUAUGUGAAGCUGACCAAUACUAAUUGCUC
Molecule: ribosomal RNA, 303 nt
Filed under: Scrippsiella hangoei
Lineage: Eukaryota; Dinophyceae; Peridiniales; Peridiniaceae
Description: partial Bacterial large subunit ribosomal RNA
Rfam family: Bacterial large subunit ribosomal RNA
Source: RNAcentral